RNAcentral lists this ribosomal RNA (424 nucleotides) under Ingerophrynus biporcatus (Sunda ridge-headed toad). Its description in RNAcentral is "partial 12S ribosomal RNA". It matches the Rfam family "Bacterial small subunit ribosomal RNA", at positions 846 to 1457 of the family's 1533-position model. Lineage: Eukaryota; Metazoa; Chordata; Amphibia; Anura; Bufonidae. The record is from RNAcentral.
CUUUUAUUUACAUCUUAAUCGCCAGGGAACUACGAGCUAAGCUUAAAACCCAAAGGACUUGACGGUACCCCAUAUCCCCCUAGAGGAGCCUGUCCUAUAAUCGAUAAUCCACGUUUAACCUCACCAUUUUUAGUUAAUCAGCCUGUAUACCUCCGUCGUCAGCUUACCACGUGAGCGCCUAUUAGUGAGCUUAAUGUCCCCACCAAUACGUCAGGUCAAGGUGCAGCAAAUGAAAUGGGAAGAGAUGGGCUACACUUUCUAAAUUAGAAAAAACGAAAAACUACAUAUGAAACCUAGUUUGAAGGCGGAUUUAGCAGUAAAAAGGAAUCAACAUGUCCAUUUUAACUCGGCACUGGGGUGUGUACACACCGCCCGUCACCCUCUUCAAAGCUAAAACUAAGUCUUUAACAAAUAAGAGCAUAAU